RNAcentral lists this ribosomal RNA (405 nucleotides) under uncultured bacterium. RNAcentral's name for it is "partial 16S ribosomal RNA". It matches the Rfam family "Bacterial small subunit ribosomal RNA", at positions 30 to 526 of the family's 1533-position model. The record is from RNAcentral.
AUUGAACGCUGGCGGCAGGCUUAACACAUGCAAGUCGAACGAGUGGCGGACGGGUGAGUAAUGCUUGGGAAUCUAGCUUAUGGAGGGGGAUAACUACGGGACACUGUAGCUAAUACCGCGUACCAUAGGAUGAGUCCAGGUGGGAUUUGUUAGUUGGUGAGGUAAAGGAUCACCAAGCCGACGAUCUCUAGCUGGGCUGAGAGGAUGACCAGCCCCACUGGGACUGAGCCACGGCCCAGUCUCAUACGGGAGGGAGCGGUGGGGAAUAGUGCGCAAGGGGGGCAGCCUGACGCAGCCCUGCCGCGUGAAUGAAGAGAGCCUGCGGGUUGUAAAGUUCUUUCGGUAGCGAAGCGUUAACUACAGAAUAAGCACCGGCUAACUCCGUGCCAGCAGCCGCGGUAAUAC